This 497-nucleotide ribosomal RNA is filed under the name uncultured bacterium. RNAcentral's name for it is "partial 16S ribosomal RNA". It matches the Rfam family "Bacterial small subunit ribosomal RNA", at positions 28 to 507 of the family's 1533-position model. The record is from RNAcentral.
GAUGAACGCUGGCGGCGUGCCUAAUACAUGCAAGUCGAGCGAACAGACGAGGAGCUUGCUCCUCUGACGUUAGCGGCGGACGGGUGAGUAACACGUGGAUAACCUACCUAUAAGACUGGGAUAACUUCGGGAAACCGGAGCUAAUACCGGAUAAUAUAUUGAACCGCAUGGUUCAAUAGUGAAAUACGGUUUUGAGGUCACUUAUAGAUGGAUCCGCGCCGCAUUAGCUAGUUGGUAAGGUAACGGCUUACCAAGGCAACCAUGCGUAGCCGAACUGAGAGGGGGAUCGGCCACACGAGAACUGAGACACGGUCCAGACUCCUACGGGAGGCAGCAGUAGGGAAUCUUCCGCAAUGGGCGAAAGCCUGGCGGAGCAACGCCGCGUGAGUGAUGAAGGUCUUCGGAUCGUAAAACUCUGUUAUUAGGGAAGAACAAAUGUGUAAGUAACUAUGCACGUCUUGACGGUACCUAAUCAGAAAGCCACGGCUAACUACGUG